Non-coding RNA from Bos taurus (domestic cattle), 73 nucleotides. Lineage: Eukaryota; Metazoa; Chordata; Mammalia; Artiodactyla; Bovidae. The record is from Rfam.
UCUCUGGUGGUCCAGUGGUUAGGACUUUGCACUUUCACUGCCGGGGACCUGGGUUCAAUUCCUGGUCAGGGAA